GAAGGAACUAGGAGAGCAAUCUUCAUAUGUUGGAAAUGAAGAGAAAAUCAAAUGUAGAUAGGCAGGAAAAGGAUGCUAGCACAAUGAAUUCAACCUUACAUUCUCCAUGAAGCAAUCAGGAAGAGUUUCCUUCAUAUUCCCCAAAAUUUAUGGCUGUAUCCUCCAUUGCUUCAACGGUCUUCUCAUAGAGUCUCAUAGAGGUCAAACAAUUUUAGCAAAGUCUCUGAGCAUAUUGAUUAACUUGAAAGCAAAACUCAAGACACAACUGACCUGGGCCAGAACAACUACCUAGCAGAUCAGUGAACACUCAGUAUCUCACACCGAAAUCAUCAGGAAGUAUAAACAAAGAGAUUACACAGAAGAGAUUACACAGUCUUCAGAUACAACAAGUCAGAAGGUCUCCAACAAAACCUAGUGGAAUUAAUUCAUGUUUUAAAUUUCACCAGAAUGUAAUGUAAACAACUAUAGGAAUGAUAUAGACAACGUUUAAAUUAAAUUUUGCAAUGAAUAAUUUAUGUUUUCAAACAAGGAAUAGAAGUCCUACUCAAUUGCAUAGUUUCAAGGGUGGCUUUAAUAAUUUACAUACUUUCCAAUGGUGAAUAAAAUAUCCUCUUGAACAACUAACGAAACA
This 631-nucleotide long non-coding RNA is filed under the name Coturnix japonica (Japanese quail). RNAcentral describes it as "lncRNA (ENSCJPG00005009896.1)". The record is from RNAcentral. Lineage: Eukaryota; Metazoa; Chordata; Aves; Galliformes; Phasianidae.